Molecule: non-coding RNA, 754 nt
Filed under: Bombus lucorum (white-tailed bumblebee)
Lineage: Eukaryota; Metazoa; Arthropoda; Insecta; Hymenoptera; Apidae
Also listed under: 1 other name
Source: RNAcentral
AAUAAAUUUUAUAAUGAUUUUUAAAUUAAUAAUAUUUUUUUAUUAAUAUAAGAUAAUUUUAUAUUAAAAAUAUAAUUAAUUUAGUGAUUAAAUUUAAUAAUUUAAUGAAAGUUAAAUUUAGAAAAAAAAAAAUAGUAAAGAUUAAAAUUAGUGCCAGCAAUAGCGGUUAAACUAAUUUUGCAAAUUAAUUUAAUUAAUUAAUAUUAAUAUAGAAUUGAAUAAAUUUAAUUAAAUUUUUAUAUUUUAGGUGAAAUUUAAUUUAUAAAUAUAUUAAAUUUAAGAUUUAUAUAUAUAAUAAGAUAAAUAAGUAAACUAGGAUUAGAUACCCUAUUAUAUAAAAUAAUUAUAUUUAAUUUAUAAAUAAAUGUAGAAUCAUUAAAAUUAAAUUAUAUGGCGGCUUUUCAUUCUUAUUAGAGAAAUUUGUAGUUUAAUUUGAUAAUCCACGAUAAGAUUUACUUAAAUAAAAAAUUUAUAUAUUGUUGUAUAUUUUAAAAUAAAAUUUAUUAUUAUUAAUAUUUUAUAAAAUAAUAAUUCAAAUCAAAAUGUAGUGUAUUUAAGAAUUUAUGAAUUAUAAUAAAUUGAAUUUUUAGAUAAUUUAAAUUUUAAAAUUAAUUUGAAAGAGGAUUUAAUAGUAAAUUUAAUAAAAUUAAUUAAAUUGAAAUUAGUUUUGAAAAGUGUACAAAUUGCCCGUCAGUUUCAUUUAUGGAAUAAGUCGUAACAUAGUAAAAAUAUUGGAAAAUGUUUUUAGAAUAAA